CAUGGAGCAAUGGCUGGAUAUACUGGCUUCACCGUUGGACCUGUAAAUGGUCGACAUGCUUACAUUCCUUUCAAUCGAGUCACUGAGAAGCAGAACAAAGUAGUCAUUACUGACAGGAUGUGGGCAAGGCUCUUAUCUUCAACUGACCAGCCAAGUUUCAUGAGCCCCAAAGUUGUAAAUAAAGCCAAGAAGCAGGAAGAACCUGCUACCUUGUUGAAUGGAAAUAUUUGAAAGCCACGCAAGAAUAAUUAGAUAUUAAAGACAUUACUACGUAUAAGAAG
This 281-nucleotide unclassified non-coding RNA is filed under the name Hevea brasiliensis (rubber tree). The record is from RNAcentral. Lineage: Eukaryota; Viridiplantae; Streptophyta; Magnoliopsida; Malpighiales; Euphorbiaceae.